Trichonephila inaurata madagascariensis is the source of this 72-nucleotide non-coding RNA. The record is from the annotation of a GenBank genome assembly. NCBI's taxonomy places the organism in Eukaryota, Metazoa, Arthropoda, Arachnida, Araneae, Nephilidae.
GCCCCUUUAGCGCAAUGGAAGCGCGUUGGACUUCUAAUCCGAAGGUCGAGGGUUCGAAUCUCUCCUGGGAUG